RNAcentral lists this long non-coding RNA (4397 nucleotides) under Danio rerio (zebrafish). Its description in RNAcentral is "lncRNA (ENSDARG00000117645.1)". The record is from RNAcentral. Lineage: Eukaryota; Metazoa; Chordata; Actinopteri; Cypriniformes; Danionidae.
GUAAAACUGCUUUAUACAAGGCACCGAGUGUGUGAUGUCUUAAGGUUCUUUAUGGACUUUGUUGAUUCGGAGGGGUUGAUGAAUGGAUUGUGUGGAAUGUUUGACUCUAGUCUGAGGAUUAACAUGUUAACAUAUGACGAAUUCUUUUUAGGGAUAGUAGAAGGAAUGAAUGGUCUGCACCGCGAGCGGGGUUCCUUGAAAUAAUGCAACAAGUUUGCAUACGGCUAGAACGAGCUGUGAAACCAGUCACCGCUGAUACUGUCUCAGUUCAUGGACGCAUGCACUCCGCUAGCUGCGCUGCUAGUCGAUUCGACACAAAAAAUACACAGUGAUAGUCAUUAUUCUCCAGUCGCUACAAAAGAUUUCAUAUAGCAGAACGUACGGACGAGAGAACAAUAUCCAUGAGGGAUUUAGAAACCAAUAAAGAGCUUCGGAGCGCAACAAAAAUGGAGAACGACACCGGUCCUGGCAAGAGGCGGUGCUGCCUUACAGGGACCGUGAACGCUAUACCAUAUGCGUUUUCUCUUGUUUCUUUCGCCUUUUGUUUUUUAUUGAAUGUUCAGACCAGCGAGAUUAAGGACAGAAUCGUGGAUCUUGAGACUGGUGGUGGCGCCCGGCUAUUAAGCCCUUUUUAUGGGAUCUCUAUGGAUCAAUUUCAUUCAAUGAUACAGCAACGAGUGGACGAACUGCUGUCACAGCACUCCAAUGACCACUUGGCUAAAAUAAGGACUGCUCGACAAGCUUCACCAUCUGAAUGCAACUGCCCACCAGGUAACAGCUCUGUGCUAUGCCCUUUUUUCUUGGUUAGUACAUGUUGAUUGGUUGAUAAGUUAUGGAUGAAAUUUCAAGGAUGAAUUUGUGGAAUUAGAAGAGAUACUGUAAAGUCCACUUCAUUCCUUGGGUUUCCACUCUUUAGAUGUCUAAGAACCCGACCUGUCUUUUAGGCAAGGUUCACACUGCUAGGCUUAGUGGUUAAAUCAGAUUUUUUUCUCAGAUCUGUUUUUUUUUUUUUUGCAUAGCUGUUCACACUGUUGUUAUAAAUGUGGCUGAUAUCAGAUUUCCAGUGUGAACAAUUCAUGGUCCUAAACUGACCCUUAUGCUUAAUAGUACAUCUACCUGUAUACACAGCACACAAUUUAUAAUUAUGCACACAAUGGUAUACUGUGUGAAGUGAAUAAAGCACGUUGUCCGAUUAUGUUAAUAUUAAUGUGAUAAUUGCUGUUUCAAUUAAAAAAAUGUCAUUUUUUAUGACCUGUAAAUUGUUGUUUUGAUUGUUUAAAAUUUUAAAUAAGUGUUUUUUGAAUGAAACACUGAUUUGUAAUUUAUGACAAGCACAGUGCACUUCUCUCUUGACCAAUUCUGAUUUUUGAAAAAUAUUCAAACUGAACAACCCUAAUUUUUGGCAAAGUAUUUAACCUGUGUGCUAUUCUGCUAUGCCACUAAUGAGUAGAGGAUGUUUGCAGCAUUAACCCAGAAUAAUGACGUGUGUCUAUCAAAAAUAGUGUUAAAGUCACAUGAAUUCCUACAUUGCCGUUCACACUGCGGUCAGAUUGCCAAACAUCAGAUUUGUAUCAGAUUUUAUUCCACAUAUGAAAUGGCAUAAACCGAAAUUGAAAAGAUCAAAUUCCAUGUGGUUUGAGCAGUUCACAGAUUGAACAGAUCUGAAUCACAUGUGGGCAAAAAAAAAAGUUAGUAAGACAUCUAAAAUAUGCUGGUAGGUGGUUAAUGUCUCUCUCUUCUCUCUCUCUCUCUUUUUCGCACCAUCAGGUUAAAGAUCUAGUAACCUUUAAUAAUAUUUGGGGAGUAAAUCAGUGUUUGUGUGCUAUAUAUAUAUAUAUAUAUAUAUAUAUAUAUAUAUAUAUAUAUAUAUAUAUAUAUAUAUAUAUAUAUAUAUAUAUAUAUAUAUAUAUAUAUAUAUAUAUAAUUUUUGGGAUUUUGCAUGUAUAUAUUUUAUAAGGUCUCUCUACACACACACACACACACACACACACACACACACACUCACACACACACACACACACACACACACACACACACACACACACACACACACACACACACACACACACACACACACACACACACACACACAUACAUAUACACACAGCAUUGCCAAAUAUACAUGUAUCUAGAGAAAUGUAAUGGAAAAUCAAAUUAAUAUAAAUUAACAAUAGUAGAGAAAAAAACAAGCAAAUAAGAAUGCGUGAACAUUCAUUAUGGAUGGUAGACAGUAGAGAAACAUACUGAGGUCAGACAUACACAUACAGUAUUACACACAUUCUAUACAUGUUCAUUUGAUGCUUUUCAGGCUGUGGCACAUAUCUCACAACCAGUACUGCUGCCUGUCCCUCCUCAAGUAUUGUUUUUAUUUGUUCCUCUUCAAUCAUGCCUGUACUGUAAAGUUUUUCAUAUUGUUUGUGAUUUGGUUAAUGCAAUAACCUUAUUUUUCAUAAACAGGUGGACAUAGUCAUAGUCUUUUUGGCUUGAGACUUCUGGUCUCAUUCACUUCCAUUGAUUUUUAGACAUUAAAAACAGCUUGUUAUACUGCUUGAUUUUGCGAACUCAUUUCUUCUUAUAACAUAUUCUAUCUCGUAUGUAUUAUCAUGAACAAUGUUGUUUGUAGGGAAAGUAGUUUGACAAGUUUCUGCUGUUUAUUAAUUCUAGUCAUUUCUCUCAUCACCUGAAUCAGAAGUUCUUAAACAAUGGCAAAAACAAGCACACAAUUCUAAGGUCAAUAGGUCCCUUAUUGAUUUAAAUGGGUGACAGUGAAUGAAAAAGUCUCUCAAUUUCACACACUUUGCUCUAUUUCUUUCUGUGUCUGCCAGAGGUACUCCUGCCAAUUAUAAUAAUAAGUUAUAUUAUAUUAAAUAUGCAACGUUGAGUUGGGAUUAUAAUUGAUCAACAAUUGAGUAUACAUGAGAUUUGUGGAGUCAUUGCAAGGUAUACUAAAAACAGAGUGAAACUAUUAUUUGCAUGUGUUUUUAAGAGUGUAAAGCAUUCAGGCACAAUAACAUGAAACAUUUGUAACUUUAAUGAAGGAAAAUUUGACGGAUUUAUUAAUACAAUGAAAACUAUACAGCGUUGUUUUACAUUACUAAGUUUCUGUAUCUGAAUACUGUUAGACUUUCAAAAAAACCACAAAGAACUUUUUUUUUUCUUUUUCCUUUGCUCUAUUGUAAUUACUCUUGCAAUUUUAUUUUUUAUACAUGAAUCACACCCUUACAAAAUCAACCUAAUCAAUCUAAAUUAAUGCUUUUUUACAAAUAUAGCUAUUCAAGCCAUCUUGUGAAACUGUUUUCAUAUCACAAUAUACAUACAGUCAAACAGUUAAACAUUUUAAAUAACUGCUUUUUUAAUGUAUGUGAAAUGAAAUUCAAAUGAAACAAUGAAUCCAGUCAUUGUUGCUUUUACUACUAUGAACAUUAAUAACAACAACAAUAAUAAUAAUAAUAAUAAUAAUAAUAAUUUUCCUUUCAUGGGUUGCGACUGGAAGGCCAUCCGCUGCGUAAAACAUAUGCUUGAUAAGUUGGUGGUGAAUUCCACUGUGGCGACCCCUGAUUGAUAAAGGGACUAAGCCGAAAAUAAAAUAAAUGAAUUAAUUAAUAAUAAUAAUAAACAGCUUAUGAAUAUGGCUUGUCUACCUUUUGUUUUUCUCGUUCAUUUAUUUUCUUUUUGCUUAGUCUCUUAUUUAUCAGGGCAUAUUCCUACAUAUGUUUUAGGUAGUGGAUGCCCUUCCAGCCACAACCCAGUGCUAGGAAACACUCCUGCAUUCACACAAACUCAUUUAACCCAAUCCAAGUUUACCCAAUUCACCUAUGCCACAUGUAUUUAGACUGUGAGGAAAACUGGAGAACCCAGGGAAAACCCACGUGAACAUAGGGAGAACAUGCAAUAUUCACACAGAAAUGCCAACUGGUCCAGCUGGCAACCAGCGACCUUCUUGCUGUGAGACGACAGUGCUAACUAGCAAGCCACCAUGCCGCUCCUUUGUCCAUAAUGGGCAUCCCGCUCAACACUGAAAUUCAUCUUCUUACGGCUCCUUUUUUCUCUCUUAUUUCCCAUCUUAUUUGUCACGUUUUUAUUAGUGGUCUUUCAACCAUAACUGCUUAUUUUAUUCUGUUCCAUAAGUAUUUCUUGCCCCAUACUUUCAAUAGACCUAGAAAAAGUAGAGUAGUUUUAUCACAAACUGUACGCAAUAUAUUUCAAUAGAAGCAUUUCAGUCAAAUGUAAUUCAUACCUUAAACCAAUUUGGCAAGAAUCUAAAAGCAGGCGGGGAGUCAGGUUUCACUGUCCAUACUCAACAAUUCAGCACCACCUGCAGGGACAGCACCUUGCAACGUUGUAUGUAAGCAGGUGUACCUUUUUUAGGUAUACUUUGGGGAACACAGAGAAAUGGC